AGAUAUGUUUGGGUUACUUGGUGUCGAGACACGCAUUCGCCACCGCGGCGCUGUCCCUCUUUACAAUGCACACCAGUGACCAAACAUAUUCUC
RNAcentral lists this microRNA precursor (93 nucleotides) under Fasciola hepatica (liver fluke). RNAcentral describes it as "microRNA fhe-mir-190 precursor". Its record names the gene fhe-mir-190. Lineage: Eukaryota; Metazoa; Platyhelminthes; Trematoda; Plagiorchiida; Fasciolidae. The record is from miRBase by way of RNAcentral.